UAUUCACUCUACUGUAAGUCGCUCUGGAUAAGAGCGUCUGCUAAAUGACUAAAA
Molecule: non-coding RNA, 54 nt
Organism: Salmo salar (Atlantic salmon)
Lineage: Eukaryota; Metazoa; Chordata; Actinopteri; Salmoniformes; Salmonidae
Source: Rfam